UACGAAAGGGGCUAGCGUUGUUCGGAAUUACUGGGCGUAAAGCGCACGUAGGCGGCUUGGCAAGUUGGGGGUGAAAUCCCCGGGCUCAACCCGGGAACUGCCUUCAAAACUGCUUGGCUAGAGGAUGCGAGAGGUUGGCGGAAUUCCGAGUGUAGAGGUGAAGUUCGUAGAUAUUCGGAAGAACACCAGUGGCGAAGGCGGCCAACUGGCGCAUUUCUGACGCUGAGGUGCGAAAGCGUGGGGAGCAAACAGG
Molecule: ribosomal RNA, 253 nt
Filed under: uncultured bacterium
Lineage: Bacteria
Description: partial 16S ribosomal RNA
Rfam family: Bacterial small subunit ribosomal RNA
Source: RNAcentral